This 80-nucleotide transfer RNA is filed under the name Lentinula lateritia. RNAcentral's name for it is "tRNA-Ala". It matches the Rfam family "tRNA". From Rfam's summary of the family: Transfer RNA (tRNA) molecules are approximately 80 nucleotides in length. Their secondary structure includes four short double-helical elements and three loops (D, anti-codon, and T loops). Lineage: Eukaryota; Fungi; Basidiomycota; Agaricomycetes; Agaricales; Omphalotaceae. The record is from RNAcentral.
GGGCAUAUGGUGUAGGGGUUAUCACGUUCGCUUUGCAUUACAGAUGCGAAAGGUCUCCGGUUCAAAUCCGGAUUUGUCCA